RNAcentral lists this unclassified non-coding RNA (240 nucleotides) under soil metagenome. RNAcentral's name for it is "partial contains 5.8S ribosomal RNA, internal transcribed spacer 2, and large subunit ribosomal RNA". The record is from RNAcentral.
AACUGAUACUACCUGCGGGAACCUGCGGAGGGAUCAUUACAGAGUUGCAAAACUCCCAAACCAUUGUGAACGUUACCUCUACCGUUGCUUCGGCGGGCGGCCCGGGUCCUGCCCGGCGCCCCUCGGCCCUCGCGGGCGCCCGCCGGAGGUAAACCAAACUCUUGAAUUGUAUGGCCUCUCUGAGUCUUCUGUACUGAAUAAGUCAAAACUUUCAACAAUGGAUCUCUAGAUCGGAAGAGC